Molecule: small nuclear RNA, 104 nt
Organism: Nomascus leucogenys (northern white-cheeked gibbon)
Lineage: Eukaryota; Metazoa; Chordata; Mammalia; Primates; Hylobatidae
Source: Ensembl
GUGCUUGCUUCAGCAGCACAUACACUAAAAUCGGAACAAUAAAGAGAUUAGCAUGGCCCCUGCACUAGGAUGACACACAAAUUUGUAAAACACUCCAAUAAAAA